RNAcentral lists this ribosomal RNA (598 nucleotides) under uncultured bacterium. RNAcentral's name for it is "bacterial SSU rRNA". It matches the Rfam family "Bacterial small subunit ribosomal RNA", at positions 240 to 859 of the family's 1533-position model. The record is from RNAcentral.
AUGAGCUAGUUGGUGAGGUAAGGGCUCACCAUGGCGACGAUCAGUCGCCGGCAUGAGAGCGUGAACGGCCUCCCAGGUACUGAGACACGGUCCAGAGUCGUAUGGGAGGCAGCAGUGGGGAAUAUUGCCCAAUGGAGGGAACUGCGAUGCAGCGACGCUGUGUGAGUGAAGAAGGUUUUCGGAUCGUAAAACUCUGUCCUUGGUGAAGAAAAGGCCGGUACCCAAGGAGGAAGCCCCGGCUAACUACGUGCCAGCAGCCGCGGUAAUACGUAGGGGGCGAGCGUUGUCCGGAUUUACUGGGCGUAAAGGGUGAGUAGGCGGUUAUAUAUGUCAGGUGUAAAAAGCUAUGGCUUAACCAUAGUAAGCACUUGAAACUGUAUGACUUGAGUGCAGGAGAGGUAAGCGGAAUUCCUAGUGUAGCGGUGAAAUGCGUAGAUAUUAGGAGGGACUCCGGUGGCGAAGGCGGCUUACUGGAUUGUAACUGACGCUGAGUCACGAAAGCGUGGGUAGCAAACAGGAUUAGAUACCCUGGUAGUCCACGCAGUAAACGAUGAAUACUAGGUGCUGGGUAGACAUAUUCAGUGCCCGAGUAAACACA